Molecule: ribosomal RNA, 306 nt
Filed under: Triticum aestivum (bread wheat)
Lineage: Eukaryota; Viridiplantae; Streptophyta; Magnoliopsida; Poales; Poaceae
Description: partial small subunit ribosomal RNA
Source: RNAcentral
AUGGUGAGGGUGGUGCUGGCUGUGGCCUCCCGUGCCUCUAUGCGUGGUCGUAAGCCUGGCUGGCAUCUCGACUUCAUCUACUGCCUGGCUCCCGCCCCCAGCUCCUCAGCAGCACGUACAGUCGUACACUCGCCGUCACCGCCCUCCAAUUUUCCAAUUUCUGGGGCAACUAAUUUUAUCCAUAAUCUAGCAAUGAGAUUCUGUGCUGGCGGCCUUCAAGUCAAGAUGCAAGGUAAUCAACCUGCAAGCUUGCAGCAACAUACACAAGCCCUCCCAUCAGCAUUACUGAGUCAACUUUUCUUGUAA